This is a long non-coding RNA of Anolis carolinensis (green anole), 1207 nucleotides long. RefSeq lists it as uncharacterized. The record is from RefSeq and is a predicted model, not a curated record. Lineage: Eukaryota; Metazoa; Chordata; Lepidosauria; Squamata; Anolidae. The transcript has 3 exons.
UCUGUGUUCUGUUUUGGUUUUCCAGCUGUUCUGUGAUGUUCCACAACCACCAUAAAUGCUCAUUCCACCUUGGCUUUUUCAAGCAUGCUGCUAUUUUAGAUUUUUUUUAUAUAGUACUUCUGCAAAACCCAGCUUCCCCUAAGCAGGCCAAUACUUCCCACUUAUUUCUCUGUGGCCCACAUUUGUGCCAGUCCUGCUGGAAUUCACCACCAAAGCUUCUCGGAAGAAAGAAUAAUAUAACCACACAAGACUCAAUAAUAGUUUCCACAAAUAUUGUUGACCCAGAAGUUCAGCUGUUCACAAUCAUGCUCCACCUGGGCCAUGAUGAUUAGAGGGCUCAUCACAAAGACUAUUGCUUUGCCUGGCUUCAAGGAGGAAAGAGAGGGGCAGCGGGACAAAUCUGUCGCCCUGCUUGUAGCUCCCUGUCUGCAACACUUUCUCCCAUCACACGGUGGAAGCGUUGCCCUUCUGUGGAGGGCCCAUUCUGUUUCCAUAGAAGCCAGCACAACACUGGAAGCUUCAUGUUGUGGGGGAAGCCUAUGGUGACACUUUCACCCCAGCUGGGGAUGGGGUCAGCGUCGAAAGACACAUGAUGUUGUGUGAUGGCCAGCGUGGGCUCCGUCCAGAAGACAGUGUGAAAGCAUCCUAGGACACUUUUUUAGCUGCCUCUGUAAGCAAGUAAAGCUGUCUGCAGGCAGAGAUGGUCCAAAUAUUCAGCAAGAUGAUGUGGAAAGCCUCAAAUGACAAACCUGGAGACAGAGCAUAAAUCCCCGCCUGCAGGCUGUGACGUCAAGAUAAACCCUGAUUAAUCCUGGUGCAGAUCCUAGUCGGCCAACCAGAUGAGAGAGCCAGAAGUCUGAAUAGCUGUCAGAACUGUAUAAGAUGUCCUGUUUUUCUGUAUUUAUGUUUGUACAUUUUGAAGCAAAUUGCUUGUACUUGCAUCUUUUUUGGCCAAAUCAUAAUAUUCUUUUGACUGUGUUGACUUCAAUCUGGGGAGCUUGUUUCUCUGUCCUGGCUCAGAUGAGCUUUAGCACAUGCUCACCAGGCAUGGACCUCUUAACUGUGGUCCUAGCUGAAAUCACCACCCUACUCCUGUUUCAAAGCAAACACAGAAAAAUUGCACUUCUCAGUAGGAUUACUUUGUAUGAGAAUUUUUUUUAAAAAAUAUUUUUUAUUCAAAUUUCAAAGUUUACAGUGAAACAGGGGA